Molecule: long non-coding RNA, 260 nt
Filed under: Populus tremula
Lineage: Eukaryota; Viridiplantae; Streptophyta; Magnoliopsida; Malpighiales; Salicaceae
Description: long non-coding RNA (PTRE_LNC000563)
Source: RNAcentral
UGCAGGAAAUAUUUUAAGAUGAAUACCAUACCUGCACACCAGUGGGUAGAAGUAGUAUCUUAUUACUUGGAGGGAAAGGCAGACAUCUGGUUUGAAGGAUUGUGUAGAGAAAACGAAUCUUGGAUAGAAUGGGACGAAUUUGCACAGAGCCUGGGCAGACGAUUUGGCAGCAGAGAAGAUAGUGUGGAAGAAUUCAACAAACUGACCCAAGAGAAAAGUGUAGAUGAUUACAUAGAACGAUUUGAGGAGCUUAAAUCAUU